Molecule: long non-coding RNA, 6971 nt
Organism: Marmota monax (woodchuck)
Lineage: Eukaryota; Metazoa; Chordata; Mammalia; Rodentia; Sciuridae
Exons: 5
Source: RefSeq, a predicted model, not a curated record
GUUCACCGAAGCUCCGGCUGAGGUCUUGCUGAGCACCCGCAGGCGCCUGUGUAUCAAUAAAUCGCCUCUCGCUUUUGCAGCCAGUGUCUCGUGUGCUUUUCCUUGGACAGGGAGUCGGAGGGUCUUUCACAGGUUCCUGCAGAGAGUCACAGACUUCUUUCUGGGUCUGGAGCUGGAGUGGUGAUGUCCAGGACAGAAGCUACAAGGUAAGGGGCACAGAAGCCCGUUGUGGGAGGGUCUGAUGCUUUGUAUUUUCCUCUUAGGGUCCAAGGCAACGUAUCAGCCUACAGCAGGUAAAGGGGAGACCUGCUUAUGGCCACACCCAGGUAGAGGGAUGGAAGGUGUUUGGGGAGGGCUAGGCAGGGCUCUUGUCUCCAGAGGCUGAGUAGGAGGACCCUGGCCUCCUGACCUCUCCCCGCAGCAGGCUGAGUGCACUUCAUCCCCUGCUUCCUGGUUCAUUCUGUGGCUCAGAGGCCAGGUAAGUGGCUCUGGAAGAGGAAGUCCCAGGAGUGAUAAGGAGGAUGUUGCUUGGAGGUCUUUCUCUCCCAGAAGAAUCACAACACAGGCUGCUUACAAGGAACUGGACAUCUUACCCUCCCGGAAAACCAGGAGGUCUUUGAUGUCAAUAUGUGAGCAAGUGUGAGCACAUGCCCAGGAUGCACAGUUGGUGAGAAGUGACCACUAUGGCCAUUGUGUUUGUUUCUUUCCCUCUACCUGCUAUGGGAAGGAAUGUAGGGAGGUGAGGCCGCUCAGACCUGGAGGGCAUGGUAAGGGCUAUUUCAACUGUUAAUUUUUCCAUUGAUUCUGUGUGUGAUUCUUUAUGGGAGCUAGGAAGAGCCUGAGACAGAAGAUGCAAGAGGGGAGGACCUUGGAGCAUCUGGGGGAUGGCAGGCCUUGCUGUCUUUGCCACAGGAAGUGCACCGUCCCUCCCUGGGUUUGGAAUGGACAAGAGCCUGCUGUCCUCACCUGGAGGAGUCUUCCUACUGCAUAGCAGGUUGGAGCUCUUUAUGCAUUUUUCCUGCAAUUUCAGCAGCUCUCCACCGCUUCAACCCAGCCUCAUGGAAAUUUGGCUGUGACCUGCGGACAGGAGAUGGCUUUUCUCCGUCUCUUCCCACACCUAGUCAUGCCCCACACGUGUUUACUGCCCAUCCACCUGUGGCCAGAUUUGGUGAGCUCCCUGCCUUCUCCAGGUUUAGCCGACCUGCUUGGGUUGUGCAGCUGCUAUCUGGCAGCCCAGGGACUCUGACCAAGCCCCUGUCCCUAGGGUCUGCGUUCUCAGAAACAACUCUGCUUCCUCUCUGUAGGAGACUUGGCACAGGAGAGGGAGAUGCAGAGGCUGGACCUAUCAGGCCAGGGAGCUACCUUCUGGAGACUUCAAUCAGAAGGGGUAGGGAGUUUUCAACUCUAGAUUUCCAAAAGUGUUCUGCUUGGGUCCCUUUGGUGACCACGGGGACUUGAAAACCCUCAUCAGUCCUGGGGGAUGUUCUGGUUUCUCCAAAGAACUGUGAAGGUCAUUGGGUACCACAAAAUAUUUGUCAUCAGGACCAAAAGGCCUCAAAAGCUCAGUGUGACUGUUGUGUGUCCGCCAGGUUCAGUGGAAACAUGGCUCCUCUCAGCCUCUUUGCUGAUUCUGGUUUGAAGGUAUUUAAUUCCUCCCUCUCUCCAGGUACGGUUUACAAACAGGCACGGAGAACCCAGCAGCAAGAAGUUUUCCCUGAUACUAUUUUUGGGUGCAGGCACAGGACUGGGGAUGGAACCCAGCGAUGCUUUACCUCUGAUCUACAUUCCUCGUCCUUUUCACUUUUUAUGGAGACAGGGUCUUGCUAAGUUGCUAAGGCUGGUCUGGAACUUGCAAUCUGCCUUCUUCAGCCUCCUGAGAAGCUGAGAUUACAGGCGUGUGUCACCAAGCCCAUCGGGAGGUUGGCUCUGAAAGCCAUAAAGGGCUGUUGAUCCUCAGGGAGUUGGGACGCAGGUGAGAGCAUGAAAACUUGGAUGAACAGCUUCCCUUUCUACAGACACAGACGGUCAGUCUUCAUAAAGUAAUAAGAACACAUGUCAUUUUGUGCUACUAAUAAAUGCCUCAUUUGUCCACCAUGGCUAAUAUUUAGGAAUUCUUAUUACUUAGUCUGGGGACUACACUCUGGACAUUUCUGGUGUCCUUCAUUUUGUGCCUUGAGGAAGAGUUUCCCUCUGAGUUGAUACUCUGACUACUACUGCUGCACACACACACACACAUACAGAGAGAGAGAGAGAGAGAGAGAGAGAGAGAGAGAGAGAGAGAGAGAGAGAGGGAGAGGGAGAGAUUGAUUUUGUUGUAGUUGUUGCUCUGUGGUGGGGGGGAUCAAACCCAGGGCCUUGUAGGUGCCAGGCCUCACUCUGCCACAGCUACUCUGUGCUGGUGCACUUAUUUAUAAAAUUUCUAGGUCUUGAUUAUCCCCACAGGCUUUACUUGCAUGUUUGCUGUGACAACGGAUGGUCCUACCAGCAGGAGGCAAGGAACACAGGAUUUGUCCCCAUGACCCAGAUGUAAAUCUGAUGAAAACAGAUCUUCCCUCAAGUCACCUGGAGUCAGGUAGGGGAGAGAAAGGCUGGAAUAAAGAGGUGAAAUGAAAGGAGCAGGUGGCAGAGACAGAGGUAAGUGUCCCUCUCUUCCCACCCCCAAGGGUAUGUGAGAACUUCCGACCUGGCUUCCUAACCAGUUAUAGGGAGGCCAUUACCUCCCUGACAGGUCACCCAGUUCCACUUGGGCAAUGUAGGGAGGUCUUUCUGGUCUUCACACUGGCAGAACAGAGUAGAAAUAGGGCUUAUCUCAUCAGUCUAAUGUGGUAAUUAGGGUGUUAGAUCAGGAUGUUUGCCAUGAGAAAUGGGUGUCCCUGUCAGCUCUGAGAGGGACCGUGGCCUUUCCUGCACCGACAUGUGAAGUGCAUCUCAGGAAGAAACAAGGAAAGUCAGAGAGACCGAUGGGAACAAGAUGGAAGGACGUUUGGGGGAGAUGACUUCUCUGGAGGAGAGGAGCUGGUGGGUGAUGGUUCUGGCCACCCAUUUUCCUGAUGCUCACUUCUUCCCCUUCAGGUUCCCAACCCCCAUGAAGAAUCACAGGUAUUCCCUGGUGGGGAAAGAGGUUCUGGAUCCUCCACACAUCCACUUGAUUUUCUGAGGCACUUGGUGAGGGUGGGGCCAGGGAGUGGGAAGAGAUGGAGGCACAGGCCACCCUCUGCCCGCUUGUGUCCCCAUGAGGUGUCAGGCAAGCAGUGAGGGUGGCCAUUGUGUGGGCUGGGGUGUGAUGCCCCUAGGGUCCUGCAACCUCCCGGUUCCAAUGACUGUAGUAUGGCAACAGCUUGUGUGGAUUCCUCCUUCUUCACUCCGUGUCUGCUCCCCAAAAUCCCCUCUGAUGCAGGGACAGGGAGAAGAUGUGAGACCUGCCAGGUAGGUGCUGCAGGGCUCAAAUCUGCCAGCUCACAUUCCUGUCCUGCGACCUCCCGCCUGCACAUCUAGUCAGCAGAUGGAAGCCUGCCAUUUGUGAAUUCUUGGCAACACGUAGAGAAACAUCAGUGUUUCCAGCAGUCGGCUGGAAAGCACACUGGGAACUUAGCAAUAUUUGGUCAGCCAACGCCCAAGGCUCCUUUCAACCCUAAGAAGGUGAGUGGAAGGUGAGUCCAAUCCCCAGCAUUCAAAUAAACGCAGAAAGAGCAACCUGUGGCUCACAGCUAUAAUUGUGAAGGUCAUCUGUUCCUGGGUAAAAACGAUUCUGAAUUAUCUUAGAUCUUUGCUACACCUAGCCUUUCAGCACUGUGAACUGUGAGGCUUCCCUUUCAAUAUCCUGAGAAGGGCAUGGAAACUAAAGUCACAACACUGAAGGGCAGUUGGUGGGCUGCAGUAACUGUGGUUCCGACUGCACCUGUAUACCUGUGAGCACACCUUUGGCAAUGGGCCUUUUUCUCCUCCUCCAGUCAGGCCUGGAAUUCAUUUCCCCACGUACUGACCCUGAGUGGCUCUAUGUGACUCCUUUUGGAAUAGUGUGUUCGAGGCAUGUCAUUGGUCACCUUCCUAGGGCCUGCCGGCCAGGGAAGAUGGCUUUUCUUAGUUUCUGCCCUUGUUCUGUCAGCAGAUGGAGCUCUCUGUGCUAUGAAGAAUUCCAGAGUGAAAGUUCAAGUGCAGGGAGAGACCCGCCAGCCUGGCUGUUCCUGCCUUUCCUUCUGGGAUCUGAUAUCCUAAUGAGAUGGGCUUCUGAGUCCAGCCCACGUUCCCUGACUGCAAUGGCAUGAGAGAGCUCAGGUUGGUCCAGCGGGGCUUUGUGUGAUCCUCAGGUGAGCACAGGUAGCCCACUUGUGAUCCUCAGGUGAGACUACUUGUUUUCUUCAAUGUGCUCAAUUACAUUUCACUUCUCUCAGCUUUUGUUAUUCAUCUACAAAUGUGAUAAAGCAAAGAUGACCCAAAUAGACUACUUAAAAUAGAAUGUUUUAAUAAAUCUGUAAGAAAUAGACAACUUGAAAUACCCUUUAAAAUGAUAGUCAGUUGCACCUAUAAAUGCAACCUUGUGUGAUAGAACCAAAAUCACAUAUAAAAUCAUGUUUCAACAGUUUUUACCAUUCUAACUUGACUAGCCUGGAAAAUUUUUUAUGCCUUAAUCAAUAAAAUAUAUCAGUUACCAGUCAGGGAGAAAUACUCCAAAAUUAUUCAUGGAACUAUUACUUUAUUGAAAUACAAAGGAAAAAUUUAACAAAUUAUUUAGUAUACACAGAAUUUUUUGAGCGGCGGGGUAUCAGGGGUUGAAGUCAGAAGCUCUUGGCCACUGAGCCACAUCCCCAACCCUAUUUUGUAUUUUAUUUAGACCUAAAUAAAAUACAAAAUAGGGUUGCGGAUGUAGGCCUUUUUGCUGAGACUGGCUUUCAACUCAUGAUCCUCCUGUGUCAGCCUCCCGAGCUGCUGGGAUUACAGGUGUGCCACCGCAUCCAGCCCAGAAUUUCUUUUGAUAGAUGCAAGUUAUUUUCUCUUUCUUCAACCUACUCAAAAUACAUAUUUUUGUCCAUCCUUCCUGCAGCAUCAUAUCAUAUUCACUAAGGUUCUUAUAGUGCAAAUGUGAAUUCUCCAACUUUUGUGAUUCCUUUCCAGAUUGAAAAGCAAUGAAACUAGAACCAUCCAAUCAGUUUUGGAAUGACUACAAAAAUCAGAAUUGGCUUGAGAUUGUAUUAAAAUCUGUGAAUUUUCAAUCCAUCAAUAUAUGCUGCAUCUCUACAUUUAAUUAGGAAUUAUUUAAUUUUCCUACUGACUGCUUUUGAGUUCUGCAGUGAAGUGUACUAAUGGAUGUCUUUAUCUUCUCCACCCCUUAGGUUUAAAGUUAAGUAGGAUCACCACAAGAUGCAGAAGAGUCUACGUGAUCCUGAGAAUUGAUUCUAUCAUGUCCUUCCAUCCUUUCAAUAACUUGUAAAAUAAUACAAAUUAAAAAGAUUAAGAGCGUCUGGCAUGGAGCAUACUCAAUCCUCAUUUGGGAAAAAUGCCAUGUAUAUAUUAGCGUAUUUUACAGAACAUAUAAUACAAAUAUUAUGUGCAUAUUAACAUACAAUAUUCAUAAUAUACAAUAUGAACAUAUAAUACUAUGUAGAACAUGUGAUAUAAAAUGCCUUUUUUCCUAAAUUCGAAUUUCCUAUGCAUGAUCUCUUAGAAAGCACGAAUGUACCUCGCACUAAAGAACACGUGCCUAGGUUCCCAAAGGUAUCUCUGUACUUGCAUCUAAACCCCCAAGAACACAACAUUUGCAGUAUGUGUUGUACAUGACUCUUCAAAAAGUUGCCAUUUAUAUUUUAGGCCACAUGAAUGACAUUCUUGUGAAAGGCACCACACACUUUUUGCAUUGACACCAAGACUGAUGCGGAGAAACUGUGCAACAUCUGCCCUCACUGCCCUCCCUCUCUCAAUCUUCCUUGAAUGAAGGCAUAUAUUUUCAGUUUUUGUUUCUUCCUCGAGGAGGGCCAUGCAAGAAAAAUGUAUGGAUGAAAGAAAAUUCCAAACAGGCCAAAGCCUUUCCCCACAUACCCUAAUGAUGGCCAUCUUCCAAAAAGCACUUACUAUCUGGCUCUGGACUGAAAAUGUGGCCCCACCAGCAAAGGCACUAUUCUGGAGAAAAGAGAAACCCAGAAUGCAAUGUUAGAAUUUCUUUUACUUUGCGUAGCAUUUGCUGAAUUAUGUAGUAAGUUGAAAUAUUACACCAAAAAUAUUUUCAAGGAAGAGUGUGAUCUAGGACAUUUUGUAGCACUAAAUGGAAAAAUUCGUACUCAUUGUCUGGGGUAGCCAUAAAUUCAUGAACAGUGGUGACACAGCUGUGGCAUUUGUUGAGUUUUGAAUAUGCUUGUAACAGAUGCUAAACAUACUCAGGUCAGAAUCUCUGAAAAGAAGACAAAAUUGAAUCUCUUUCAGUCUUCCAAGGCUCAAAAGACAGAAACCUGCCAAUCUCUCAAUCAAAUACCCAAUUGGGCCAUGCCAAAACAAAGGCCUAAAAAGAACAGCUGUAUUACCUCUUGACAAACUGAAGGCAUCAUGAAUAUAGCUCAAUCUGUGAUUGAAUUGAGGUGAUUUGUACCUCACAAUGUUUUUCUAACUGUGCAAAUAGAGAAUUGUUUAGGUUAGAAUAAGUCAUCUGUAUCCUCUAUAAUUAUUUUACAACAAAAUAUUUUACAUACACGAAAUUGGCUAGAGAUGAUAGAAAACAAUCUGGAAAAAAAAACAAUUCUAGCUUGGUACCAGUCUCUUUAAAGUUUUAUCAGAAAAUGAAAUGCAAAUUUGUUCAAAUAUUGUCAUUGACUGAUUUUGUGCUACACAGUUAAGAAUUGAGUAUUUGGGUCAGAGAUGGUACAGCUGGCAAAGUGUAAAAUAUUUACUAUUUUGUUCUACUUACUAUGUUGUUCUUUACAGAAGGUUAAUAACUCUUGUCAUAGGUUGUUCACUAAAAAUAAAAUACAUUUAUGUAUUGAAAA